This is a non-coding RNA of Pelobates cultripes (western spadefoot toad), 331 nucleotides long. The record is from the annotation of a GenBank genome assembly. Lineage: Eukaryota; Metazoa; Chordata; Amphibia; Anura; Pelobatidae.
CAUUAGUUGGCCAGUCUCUCAGGAAACGGAGCACCACGUCUACAUCCCAGAGAUGUAAAUAUUUGGGCCCUGGGGGGCAUUGUAGUUAGAUGCCUCUCAGAAGUCGACACACUAGAAGGUCUUUACCCACCGGGAUCCCUAGUAUAGGGACGUGGGCCGCUGAAAUCGUGGAGAGGACUACAUUAACCCCUUAAGGACACAUGACAUGUAUGACAUGUCAUGGUUCCCUUUUAUUCCAGAAGUUUGGUCCUUAAGGGGUUAAGCGAUCGGUAUUAUCGACCUGUCGAGAACAGAUGAGACAGAAAGUUCAGAAUGGCUGGGAUAGAGGCUG